This 550-nucleotide ribosomal RNA is filed under the name Bacillus anthracis (anthrax bacterium). RNAcentral's name for it is "bacterial SSU rRNA". It matches the Rfam family "Bacterial small subunit ribosomal RNA", at positions 990 to 1533 of the family's 1533-position model. The record is from RNAcentral. Lineage: Bacteria; Bacillati; Bacillota; Bacilli; Caryophanales; Bacillaceae.
UCUGACAACCCUAGAGAUAGGGCUUCUCCUUCGGGAGCAGAGUGACAGGUGGUGCAUGGUUGUCGUCAGCUCGUGUCGUGAGAUGUUGGGUUAAGUCCCGCAACGAGCGCAACCCUUGAUCUUAGUUACCAUCAUUAAGUUGGGCACUCUAAGGUGACUGCCGGUGACAAACCGGAGGAAGGUGGGGAUGACGUCCAAUCAUCAUGCCCCUUAUGACCUGGGCUACACACGUGCUACAAUGGACGGUACAAAGAGCUGCAAGACCGCGGGGUGUAGCUAAUCUCAUAAACACGUUCUCAGUACGGAUUGUAGACUGCAACUCGCCUACAUGCAGAUGGAAUCGCUAGUAAUCGCGAAUCAGCAUGCCGCGGUGAAUACGUUCCCGGGCCUUGUACACACCGCCCGUCACACCACGAGCGUUUGUAACACCCGAAGUCGGUGGGGUAACCUUUUUGGAGCCUGCCGCCUAAGGUGGGACUGAUGAUUGGGGUGACGUCGUAUCAAGGUAGCCGUAUCGGAAGGUGCGGCUGGAACACCUCAUUUCUAUGGA